RNAcentral lists this unclassified non-coding RNA (425 nucleotides) under Hevea brasiliensis (rubber tree). The record is from RNAcentral. Lineage: Eukaryota; Viridiplantae; Streptophyta; Magnoliopsida; Malpighiales; Euphorbiaceae.
UGCAUUAUGGCAGUUAAAAAAAAAAAAAAGAAAAUCAAUAUGAAAACAACUCCGAGCAACUCAGAACACCGUAAAAGCAUAAAAUACAGCAACGGUAAAAUAAAGAGCAUUGCAGGCUACAGCCUUACAAGCGUAUUAUUUUCUGGACAAAAGCCCAUAAAUUCUCACUUCUAUUUUCAUAUGUUUUAACGUUAAAGCUCUCCAUCCCAAAGCUCUUCGAUGGACUUGAACGGUCCAUCAUGGGAGACAUAUUCCUCUUUAAGCCUGAGUCUUUGCUGUGGGAUUUGACUGAUCUUGUCCUUAUCUUCCUUUGACAGUUCCCACUCAAAAAUCUCCAUAUUCUCUUUCAGUCUCUCCUUUUUAUAGCUCUUCACAACAAGAGUUAUCCCUUGCUCUAUUAUCCAUCUCAGAGCCACCUGUGCAAC